AUAAGCCAAAUGCUGUGUAAAAUGCUGGGGAUAAGGACUAGCCCUGUGGUUUCCUUGGAAAAGGUAAGUCCCUCUACCAAUAUAGAUCAUUACUUUCUCUGAAAUGAAGGGUCUUAGUUACUUCAAGCCCUAGGAGUUAAGUGACAAGUCUAGGGUCACAUAGCUGGUAUGAAUCAAAAGUAGGAUCUGAACCCAUUUUUCUGUCUUCAAGACCAUCUCUUUAGCUACUCUGUUGCCUCUUACUUGAGGGCUAUAAAGCCAAAAUGAAAUAGUCACUCAACCAUCAUUAUUAAAUUUUGGCUCUGCUUCAAGAAUUACAUCCCUGUUCUCAGGAAGUUUUCCUUUGACUAGGAAGAAUAUUAAUUAGCCUGGGAUCUAGGAGACCUGGCUUUGCCACUAACUAGUGACCAUAAGUUCCGUAGCCUUAUUCUUAUCUGUAAAAUGGAGGGGGAUGGAAAUGGGUCACCAAAGUCCUUUCUAGCUCUAAAAAUCCUUCUGUCUUAGGAAUAUGUAAGUACAUCAAAACUUUGGUUAGUUCUUCUUUCAUAGGAUUUUUAAAGUCUUCAGUUUUUAAAAUUUAAAGCAUGGAACCUUAGAGACCAGGUACUCCAGGCCCUUCGUUUUAAAGGGGAGAAAACUGUACCAGGGAAAAGUGACUUGACCCAGGAAGACUGUCUAGAUGGUCAAUGAGAGAGCUGGAGUUUCCUCAUUCCCCAUCAGUCUUCUUAGUCUGAUUCUCUAUCACUCAAGAGACCCUGUAACUUUCUCUUUCUCUCCUCUUUCUAGGUCUCUGCUAUCCCUUACCUACCUCUAGCUGGAAUCACUUUGGAUUGAUUACUUCCUUGAAUUUCCCUAGAGAGGGCCCACCAGGCCCUUCACUGGAAAGAAGGUGAUGAAACUGAGGUUCAGAGAAGUUUACUGACUUGCCUAUGGGCAUAUGAAAGGCCAAGGAGAUGCCUGGAAUCUCAAAGGUUGUGAUGACCAAAUGAAUGGUUUGAGAGUUCUACCAACCUGGAAAGACUGCCAGUGCAGGCUCAAUGAUGAACUAUCCCUUGAAGACCAGCCAAGCGAGGUUCAGAAGUUCAUAAGCACAAAGUUGAAGAAGUGA
Molecule: long non-coding RNA, 1108 nt
Filed under: Monodelphis domestica (gray short-tailed opossum)
Lineage: Eukaryota; Metazoa; Chordata; Mammalia; Didelphimorphia; Didelphidae
Description: lncRNA (ENSMODG00000050843.1)
Source: RNAcentral